RNAcentral lists this ribosomal RNA (700 nucleotides) under uncultured bacterium. RNAcentral's name for it is "bacterial SSU rRNA". It matches the Rfam family "Bacterial small subunit ribosomal RNA", at positions 94 to 824 of the family's 1533-position model. The record is from RNAcentral.
GGUGGCGGACGGGUGAGUAACACGUAAGAAUUUGCCUUUAGGAGGGGGACAACAACUAGAAAUGGUUGCUAAUACCCCAUAUGCUUUCGAGUGAAAUGGAUUUUUCCGCCUAGAGAGAAGCUUGCGGCUGAUUAGCUUGUUGGUGAGGUAAUGGCUCACCAAGGCGACGAUCAGUAUCUGGUUUGAGAGGACGAUCAGACACACUGGAACUGAGACACGGUCCAGACUCCUACGGGAGGCAGCAGUGGGGAAUUUUCCGCAAUGGGCGAAAGCCUGACGGAGCAAUACCGCGUGAGGGAUGACGGCCUAUGGGUUGUAAACCUCUUUUUUCAGGGAGGAAUCAAUGACGUGUACCUGAAGAAUAAGCAUCGGCUAACUCCGUGCCAGCAGCCGCGGUAAGACGGGGGAUGCAAGUGUUAUCCGGAAUCACUGGGCGUAAAGCGUCUGUAGGUGGUCCAAUAAGUCAACUGUUAAAUCUUGAGGCUCAACCUCAAAAUCGCAGUCGAAACUAUUAGACUAGAGUAUAGUAGGGGUAAAGGGAAUUUCCAGUGGAGCGGUGAAAUGCGUAGAGAUUGGAAAGAACACCGAUGGCGAAGGCACUUUACUGGGCUAUUACUAACACUCAGAGACGAAAGCUAGGGUAGCAAAUGGGAUUAGAUACCCCAGUAGUCCUAGCCGUAAACAAUGGAUACUAGAUGUU